GCUGGCAUGGUGGUGCAUGCCUGUAGUCCCAGCUACUCAGGAGGCUGAGGCAGGAGGAUCACUUGAGCCCAGGAGGUCAGGGCUGCAGGGAACUAUGAUGGCAUCACUGCACUCUAGCCUGGGCAACAGAGUGAGACCCUGUCUCAA
Molecule: unclassified non-coding RNA, 147 nt
Organism: Papio anubis (olive baboon)
Lineage: Eukaryota; Metazoa; Chordata; Mammalia; Primates; Cercopithecidae
Rfam family: Metazoan signal recognition particle RNA
About the family: The signal recognition particle (SRP) is a universally conserved ribonucleoprotein. It is involved in the co-translational targeting of proteins to membranes.
Source: Ensembl